UAGAAGUGGCCUGUACACAAGGGCUGUGGU
Molecule: non-coding RNA, 30 nt
Filed under: Rattus norvegicus (Norway rat)
Lineage: Eukaryota; Metazoa; Chordata; Mammalia; Rodentia; Muridae
Source: RNAcentral